AGAGUUUGAUCCUGGCUCAGAAUCAACGCUGGCGGCGCGCUUAACACAUGCAAGUCGCACGAGAAAGUGGAGCAAUCCAUGAGUACAGUGGCGUACGGGUGAGUAACACGUGGAUCAUCUACCUCUUAGUGGGGAAUAACCCUGGGAAACCGGGGCUAAUACCGCAUAAGCUCGAGAGAGGAAAGCAGCAAUGCGCUGAGAGAGGAGUCCGCGGCCGAUUAGCUAGUUGGCAGGGUAAACGCCUACCAAGGCAAAUAUCGGUAGCCGGCCUGAGAGGGCACACGGCCACACUGGCACUGAAACACGGGCCAGACUCCUACGGGAGGCAGCAGUGGGGAAUCUUGCACAAUGGGGGAAACCCUGAUGCAGCGACGCCGCGUGAGCGAUGAAGCCCUUCGGGGUGUAAAGCUCUUUCGGCAGGGACGAUCAUGACGGUACCUGCAGAAGCAGCUGCGGCUAACUACGUGCCAGCAGCCGCGGUAAUACGUAGGCAGCGAGCGUUGUUCGGAGUUACUGGGCGUAAAGGGUGUGUAGGCGGUUGCUUAAGUUUGGUGUGAAAUCUCCCGGCUCAACUGGGAGGGUGCGCCGAAUACUGAGUGACUCGAGUGCGGGAGAGGAGAGUGGAAUUCCUGGUGUAGCGGUGAAAUGCGUAGAUAUCAGGAGGAACACCGGCGGUGUAGACGGCUCUCUGGACCGUAACUGACGCUGAGACACGAAAGCGUGGGUAGCAAACAGGAUUAGAUACCCUGGUAGUCCACGCCCUAAACGAUGCAUAUUUGGUGUGGGUCAUUCAGUUGAUCCGUGCCGGAGCUAACGCGUUAAAUAUGCCGCCUGGGGAGUACAGUCGCAAGGCUGAAACUCAAAGGAAUUGACGGGGGCCCGCACAAGCGGUGGAGCAUGUGGGUUCAAUUCGACGCAACGCGAAGAACCUUACCUGGGCUCGAACGGCUGGUUACCGGCGGUGGAAAC
This 969-nucleotide ribosomal RNA is filed under the name uncultured bacterium. Its description in RNAcentral is "bacterial SSU rRNA". It matches the Rfam family "Bacterial small subunit ribosomal RNA", at positions 8 to 1008 of the family's 1533-position model. The record is from RNAcentral.